CAGUCGCCACGGUAAUACGUAGGGUGCGAGCGUUAAUCGGAAUUACUGGGCGUAAAGGGCUCGCAGGCGGUUUCUUAAGUCUGAUGUGAAAGCCCCCGGCUCAACCGGGGAGGGUCAUUGGAAACUGGGAAACUUGAGUGCAGAAGAGGAGAGUGGAAUUCCACGUGUAGCGGUGAAAUGCGUAGAGAUGUGGAGGAACACCAGUGGCGAAGGCGACUCUCUGGUCUGUAACUGACGCUGAGGAGCGAAAGCGUGGGGAGCGAACAGGAUUAGAUACCCCAGUAGUCCCUGUCUCUUAUAC
This 301-nucleotide ribosomal RNA is filed under the name uncultured bacterium. RNAcentral's name for it is "partial 16S ribosomal RNA". It matches the Rfam family "Bacterial small subunit ribosomal RNA", at positions 509 to 807 of the family's 1533-position model. The record is from RNAcentral.